RNAcentral lists this long non-coding RNA (216 nucleotides) under Elaeis guineensis (African oil palm). RNAcentral's name for it is "long non-coding RNA (EGUI_LNC054990)". Lineage: Eukaryota; Viridiplantae; Streptophyta; Magnoliopsida; Arecales; Arecaceae. The record is from RNAcentral.
GUGGUACUCUACCAGUUCGCCUUAAGGAUGUUUGUGUAUUGGGCUUCGAAUUUGAUCUUAUCAAAUUUGGUUCAAAUUCAAUCAUUGAUGUCGGUUCUUCUACUUGUCGAACUUCGUCAAGCUCGAUUUUUGAAGCAUUUAUUCCUUCACUAAGAAAUUUCUUUUCCAAAAAGUGUGCCUUAUUGCUGACAAACACCUUUUGUUCAGCUGGCAGGU